This 393-nucleotide ribosomal RNA is filed under the name uncultured bacterium. RNAcentral describes it as "partial 16S ribosomal RNA". It matches the Rfam family "Bacterial small subunit ribosomal RNA", at positions 523 to 918 of the family's 1533-position model. The record is from RNAcentral.
AUACGGAGGAUGCGAGCGUUAUCCGGAUUUAUUGGGUUUAAAGGGAGCGUAGGUGGGGUAUUAAGUCAGCUGUGAAAGUUUGGGGCUCAACCUUAAAAUUGCAGUUGAUACUGGUUUCCUUGAGUACGGUACAGGUGGGCGGAAUUCGUGGUGUAGCGGUGAAAUGCUUAGAUAUCACGAAGAACUCCGAUCGCGAAGGCAGCUCACCGGGCCGGAACUGACACUGAUGCUCGAAAGUGCGGGUAUCAAACAGGAUUAGAUACCCUGGUAGUCCGCACAGUAAACGAUGAAUACUCGCUGUUUGCGAUACACUGUAAGCGGCCAAGCGAAAGCGUUAAGUAUUCCACCUGGGGAGUACGCCGGCAACGGUGAAACUCAAAGGAAUUGACGGGG